This 272-nucleotide ribosomal RNA is filed under the name Stenotrophomonas maltophilia. RNAcentral describes it as "partial 16S ribosomal RNA". It matches the Rfam family "Bacterial small subunit ribosomal RNA", at positions 498 to 769 of the family's 1533-position model. The record is from RNAcentral. Lineage: Bacteria; Pseudomonadati; Pseudomonadota; Gammaproteobacteria; Lysobacterales; Lysobacteraceae.
UAACUUUGUGCCAGCAGCCGCGGUAAUACGAAGGGUGCAAGCGUUACUCGGAAUUACUGGGCGUAAAGCGUGCGUAGGUGGUCGUUUAAGUCCGUUGUGAAAGCCCUGGGCUCAACCUGGGAACUGCAGUGGAUACUGGGCGACUAGAGUGUGGUAGAGGGUAGCGGAAUUCUUGGUGUAGCAGUGAAAUGCGUAGAGAUCAGGAGGAACAUCCAUGGCGAAGGCAGCUACCUGGACCAACACUGACACUGAGGCACGAAAGCGUGGGGAGC